RNAcentral lists this ribosomal RNA (515 nucleotides) under uncultured bacterium. Its description in RNAcentral is "partial 16S ribosomal RNA". It matches the Rfam family "Bacterial small subunit ribosomal RNA", at positions 28 to 523 of the family's 1533-position model. The record is from RNAcentral.
GAUGAACGCUGGCGGCGUGCCUAAUACAUGCAAGUCGAGCGAAUGGAUUAAGAGCUUGCUCUUAUGAAGUUAGCGGCGGACGGGUGAGUAACACGUGGGUAACCUGCCCAUAAGACUGGGAUAACUCCGGGAAACCGGGGCUAAUACCGGAUAACAUUUUGAACCGCAUGGUUCGAAAUUGAAAGGCGGCUUCGGCUGUCACUUAUGGAUGGACCCGCGUCGCAUUAGCUAGUUGGUGAGGUAACGGCUCACCAAGGCAACGAUGCGUAGCCGACCUGGGAGGGUGAUCGGCAACACUGGGACUGGGACACGGCCCAGACUCAUACGGGAGGCAGCAGUAGGGAAUCUUCCGCAAUGGGCGAAAGUCUGACGGAGCAACGCCGCGUGAGUGAUGAAGGCUUUCGGGUCGUAAAACUCUGUUGUUAGAGAAUAACAAGUGCUAGUUGAAUAAGCUGGCACCUUGACGGUACCUAACCAGAAAGCCACGGCUAGCUACGUGCCAGCCGCCGCAGUAA